UUAAGUUCGGCGGGUAUCCCUACCUGAUCCGAGGUCCAUCAAGAAGAAAAAAUGUGGAUUUCUCUCACAAUAGGCUUAAAGGGUCGGCCAGCUUUCAAGCGGGUGACAAUGCCCCAUACGCAUUUAAAAGACUGGACUGCGACCCUGCCACUGCCUUUGGGGCUACUGUCCAAUAAGACAGUGAGUCCAUCACACAAGCC
RNAcentral lists this unclassified non-coding RNA (200 nucleotides) under Elaphomyces sp. RNAcentral describes it as "partial internal transcribed spacer 2". Lineage: Eukaryota; Fungi; Ascomycota; Eurotiomycetes; Eurotiales; Elaphomycetaceae. The record is from RNAcentral.